UGAAUGCAGAUAAUUAAUAUUUUGCAGCACAUAGAUAAUGCUCCAUCUACUUAUCGGAUUGUACGCAGUGUUUUUCAGUCAUGCUUGAUUUUCAACCAGCUACCUGAGAGGAAAAGACUCGAGGAGCCAGCUUGUGAUGUCGGUUUCGAAUCUAUGUGUGCAUUGGUGUGCAGAUCAUUCACAUUAGCAUGUACUCCACUCCAUGUCAAUUCCCUGCUACUCUUUGUUUAUUAUUGUUUGUCCUUUUAUUGCUUGAGCAGAUUAACACCAACCUACGAACUUUCAUCAGAGCUAAGUAGCAGCACACUGGAAAUACUUCCACAACACUAUGCUUUAUAUUCAAUUUAACUCGAUGGAGUUGAUAUUCCAUGGGUGAUAUUAA
Brachypodium distachyon (stiff brome) is the source of this 382-nucleotide long non-coding RNA. RefSeq lists it as uncharacterized. The transcript is spliced from 2 exons. NCBI's taxonomy places the organism in Eukaryota, Viridiplantae, Streptophyta, Magnoliopsida, Poales, Poaceae. The record is from RefSeq and is a predicted model, not a curated record.